GACGAACGCUGGCGGCGUGCUUAACACAUGCAAGUCGAGCGGUAAGGCCCUUUCGGGGGUACACGAGCGGCGAACGGGUGAGUAACACGUGGGUGACCUGCCUUUAGCUUCGGGAUAAGCCUGGGAAACUGGGUCUAAUACCGGAUAUGACCUCAUGUCGCAUGGUGUGGGGUGGAAAGUUUUUCGGCUAGAGAUGGGCCCGCGGCCUACCAGCUUGUUGGUGGGGUGAUGGCCUACCAAGGCGACGACGGGUAGCCGGCCUGAGAGGGCGACCGGCCACACUGGGACUGAGACACGGCCCAGACUCCUACGGGAGGCAGCAGUGGGGAUACUGCACAAUGGCGAAAGCCUGAUGCAGCGACGCCGCGUGAGGGAUGAC
This 379-nucleotide ribosomal RNA is filed under the name uncultured bacterium. RNAcentral's name for it is "bacterial SSU rRNA". It matches the Rfam family "Bacterial small subunit ribosomal RNA", at positions 28 to 412 of the family's 1533-position model. The record is from RNAcentral.